AAAGUACUCCCUCCGUUCGGAAUUACUUAUCGCAGGAAUGAAUGUAUCUAGACAUAUUUUAAUUAUAGAUAUAUCCAUUUCCGAGACAAGUAAUUCCGAACGGAGGGAAUAUAAU
Molecule: non-coding RNA, 115 nt
Organism: Triticum aestivum (bread wheat)
Lineage: Eukaryota; Viridiplantae; Streptophyta; Magnoliopsida; Poales; Poaceae
Source: Rfam